Saccoglossus kowalevskii is the source of this 83-nucleotide non-coding RNA. The record is from the annotation of a RefSeq genome assembly. Lineage: Eukaryota; Metazoa; Hemichordata; Enteropneusta; Harrimaniidae.
GAUGAGGUGGCCGAGUGGUUAAGGCGAUGGACUGCUAAUAACAUUGUGCUCUGCACGUGUGGGUUCGAAUCCCAUCCUCGUCG